Molecule: unclassified non-coding RNA, 516 nt
Filed under: Hevea brasiliensis (rubber tree)
Lineage: Eukaryota; Viridiplantae; Streptophyta; Magnoliopsida; Malpighiales; Euphorbiaceae
Source: RNAcentral
UGUUUGACACAUAUUGAAAGCUUAAGCAUCUGGGAUUGGAAGGAUGAGAGAAAUGAAUCAAAUAUACAGGAAGCCCGCUCGUUAGCAUCUGACAGCUGGGCAUUAGAUCAUGUUGAUUAUUUUAUUGAUUGUCAUUACCCAGGAGAAGGUGAAAGUCUGUGGGCGAUUGGGGGAACUAAUGGUGGUGCUUUAGGCUAUUUUCCUGUAAAUUAUAGAGAGGGAACAAUAGGAUCUCCGGAAGCAAUUCUCGGAGGUGGACAUACGGGCGUUGUCAGGAGUGUAUUGCCAAUGUCAAGCAUGAAUGGUGGACCAGCCCAAAGCCGAGGCAUUUUUGGAUGGACAGGUGGUGAAGAUGACNNNNNNNNNGUCUAAUAAUUCUAUAGAGGUAAACCGUGCCUGGAUUUCAGAAGCACUGGUUAUGAGAUCCUCGAAGUCCCGCAAGAAAAAUAGGCGUCACCCUUACUAACAAAAUGUGUGUAUUUAUUACUAUGUUUUGGCAAUUUAUAUUUUCUACAA